UACGUAGGGGGCAAGCGUUGUCCGGAUUUAUUGGGCGUAAAGCGCUCGCAGGCGGUUCGUUGCGUCGUGCGUGAAAGACCCCGGCUCAACUGGGGAGGGUCGUGCGAUACGGGCGAACUGGAGGCCAGUAGGGGGAUGCGGAAUUCCGGGUGUAGUGGUGGAAUGCGUAGAGAUCCGGAGGAACACCAGCGGCGAAGGCGACUUCCUGGCCUGUUCUUGACGCUGAGGCGCGAAAGCUAGGGGAGCAAACGGG
This 253-nucleotide ribosomal RNA is filed under the name uncultured bacterium. RNAcentral describes it as "partial 16S ribosomal RNA". It matches the Rfam family "Bacterial small subunit ribosomal RNA", at positions 524 to 776 of the family's 1533-position model. The record is from RNAcentral.